This 205-nucleotide long non-coding RNA is filed under the name Salvia miltiorrhiza (redroot sage). RNAcentral's name for it is "long non-coding RNA (SMIL_LNC009859)". Lineage: Eukaryota; Viridiplantae; Streptophyta; Magnoliopsida; Lamiales; Lamiaceae. The record is from RNAcentral.
CUAAUUUUCGAGGAUGGCACUGGCUUUGGAUUGAAGCGGAUUCGUCUUAUGUAGUUCAGCUUCUGUACUCACGUUCUCUGAGUGUUCCUUGGCGUUUUUUACCGUUUUGGAAACAGACUUUAAGCUGGCUUUUGAAUUUUCGCCUUCAAAUCUCGCAUAUUUAUAGAGAAGGAAACAGUGCAGCGGAUAUUAUGGCUAAUCAUGA